Molecule: ribosomal RNA, 376 nt
Filed under: uncultured bacterium
Lineage: Bacteria
Description: bacterial SSU rRNA
Rfam family: Bacterial small subunit ribosomal RNA
Source: RNAcentral
UAAUACGAACUGUGCGAACGUUAUUCGGAAUCACUGGGCUUAAAGGGUGCGUAGGCGGCGACUCAAGUCAGGUGUGAAAUCCCCCGGCUCAACCGGGGAACAGCGCUUGAAACUGGGUUGCUCGAGUGAGGCAGGGGUGUAUGGAACUUCCGGUGGAGCGGUGAAAUGUGUAGAUAUCGGAAGGAACGCCGGCGGCGAAAGCGGUACACUGGGCCUUGUCUGACGCUGAGGCACGAAAGCUAGGGGAGUGAACGGGAUUAGAUACCCCGGUAAUCCUAGCCGUAAACACUGAGCACUGGAGGGGAGGGGCCUUGCGCCUUUUCCCUCGCAGCGAAAGCGUUAAGUGCUCCGCCUGGGGAGUAUGGUCGCAAGGCUG